UCUAGCGAGUCCACCCUGAACGUGCCUGAUCUCAGAAACUAAGUAGGGUUGGGCCUGGUUAGUUCUUGCAUGGG
Gorilla gorilla gorilla (western lowland gorilla) is the source of this 74-nucleotide ribosomal RNA. NCBI's taxonomy places the organism in Eukaryota, Metazoa, Chordata, Mammalia, Primates, Hominidae. The record is from Ensembl.